CCUACGGGAGUCAGCAGUGGGGGAUAUUCCACAAUGGGGGGAACCCUGAUGCAGCGACGCCGCGUGGGUGAAGGAGUGCUUCGGCAUGUAAAGCACUAUCGUCAGGGAAGAAGCAAGACGGGAGCUGACUAAGAAGCCCCGGCUAAAUACGUGCCAGCAGCCGCGGACAUACGUAGGGGGCGUGCUUUGUCCGGAUUCACUGGGUGGAAAGGGAGCGGAGACGGCCAUGCAAGCCAGGGGUGAAAUCCCGGGGCCCAACCCCCGGACUGCCCUUGGAACUGGAUGGCUGGAGUGCUGGAGGGGCAGGCGGAAUUCCUGGUGUAGCGGUGAAAUGCGUAGAUAUCAGGAGGAACACCGGCGGCGAAGGCGGCCUGCUGGACCGCGACUGACGUUGAGGCUCGAAAGCGUGGGGAGCGAACAGGAUUAGAUACCCUUGUAGUC
This 441-nucleotide ribosomal RNA is filed under the name uncultured bacterium. RNAcentral describes it as "partial 16S ribosomal RNA". It matches the Rfam family "Bacterial small subunit ribosomal RNA", at positions 338 to 795 of the family's 1533-position model. The record is from RNAcentral.